CAAUAGCGUAUAUUAAAGUUGUUGCGGUAAAAGAGCUCGUAGUUGGAUUUCUGCUAGUUGUGUCCGGUCCAUACCAUGUAUGCGUAUCUGGUUUCACAGUUGGCAUCCUCUCGGAGCCCGUUCCUGUGCUUGAUUGCAUGGGUCGGUGUCCGAGACUUUUACUUUGAGGAAAUUAGAGUGUUCACGGCAGGCUAUCGCCCGAAUACAUUAGCAUGGAAUAAUAACAUAGGAUCUCGAUCCUAUUUUGUUGGUUUCUAGGAUUGAAAUAAUGAUUAAUAGGGACAAUUGGGGGCAUUCGUAUCAACACGUCAGAGGUGGAAUUCUUGGAUUGUGUUGCGACGAACUACUGCGAAAGCAUUUGCCAAGGAUGUUUUCAUUGAUCAAGAACGAAAGUAAGGGGAUCGG
This 405-nucleotide ribosomal RNA is filed under the name uncultured eukaryote. Its description in RNAcentral is "bacterial SSU rRNA". It matches the Rfam family "Eukaryotic small subunit ribosomal RNA", at positions 592 to 1001 of the family's 1831-position model. The record is from RNAcentral.